UGGGGAAUUUUGGACAAUGGGCGAAAGCCUGAUCCAGCAAUGCCGCGUGUGUGAAGAAGGCCUUCGGGUUGUAAAGCACUUUUGUCCGGAAAGAAAUCCUUGGCUCUAAUACAGUCGGGGGAUGACGGUACCGGAAGAAUAAGCACCGGCUAACUACGUGCCAGCAGCCGCGGUAAUACGUAGGGUGCAAGCGUUAAUCGGAAUUACUGGGCGUAAAGCGUGCGCAGGCGGUUUGCUAAGACCGAUGUGAAAUCCCCGGGCUUAACCUGGGAACUGCAUUCGUGACUGCAAGGCUAGAGUAUGGCAGAGGGGGGUAGAAUUCCACGUGUAGCAGUGAAAUGCGUAGAGAUGUGGAGGAAUACCGAUGGCGAAGGCAGCCCCCUGGGCCAAUACUGACGCUCAUGCACGAAAGCGUGGGGAGCAAACAGGAUUAGAUACCCUGGUAGUCCACGCCCUAAACGAUGUCAACUAGUUGUUGGGGAUUCAUUUCCUUAGUAACGUAGCUAACGCGUGAAGUUGACCGCCUGGGGAGUACGGUCGCAAGAUU
RNAcentral lists this ribosomal RNA (547 nucleotides) under uncultured bacterium. RNAcentral's name for it is "partial 16S ribosomal RNA". It matches the Rfam family "Bacterial small subunit ribosomal RNA", at positions 355 to 895 of the family's 1533-position model. The record is from RNAcentral.